Astyanax mexicanus (Mexican tetra) is the source of this 695-nucleotide long non-coding RNA. RefSeq lists it as uncharacterized. The record is from RefSeq and is a predicted model, not a curated record. The transcript has 2 exons. Lineage: Eukaryota; Metazoa; Chordata; Actinopteri; Characiformes; Acestrorhamphidae.
CAAAGGGAUAUACAAAGGGAGUAUAAUAAUAAUAAUAAGACCCGGACAGUACAAACAAUAUGACUUGAUGAUACAUAUGUAACUUGAUGUGCCAAAUUUCUGCUGUGUCUGGAUAAAAAGCUCAUUGUUUAUGUGCAUUUAAGAUGGCUACAGGAUGGGGGCGCUGUCUGACAAAUUUGCCAAAUUUGACAAAGCUGCUCUCUGAAAACGGCUGAGAAAAAAACAGUGCCAUGUAGUUAUAAGUUUAGCAAUAUAUGCUGUUCAAAUCAAAAUCAAAGGCACAGACACUAAACCUGGACAUAGGAGUCUGCAAUAUUUUCCUCAAAACACUCCUAAGAUCAUUCACUCGACUGUGUGCACAGGAGAGAUGCCACUCACCGCCAGACGGGCUUGUCUUUCCUUUUCUUUUUCUGCACGGAUUCUUUGCUGUUCGGCUCUUUCUGCACGACGCUUCUCCUGCACACAGGUCAUGUGGAAAUCAGCAAUCAGAUACUGGUCAGACUUACUUGCUCUGGGGAAAUAGAGUGGAAAUAGAGUACGUACAAUCCUGUUGACCAGAGCAAUAAGCUCCUCCUCGUCCUUCUUUCUCUGGAUGAAAUGAGCUUCAAUCAGGGACUGCAGUUCAGAUAAAUCUUUCUCCUGACGCUUUCUGUGGAUGUCCUGUUGUACAUACACAAAUAAAUAUGUUAGCAUCA